Molecule: ribosomal RNA, 465 nt
Filed under: uncultured bacterium
Lineage: Bacteria
Description: partial 16S ribosomal RNA
Rfam family: Bacterial small subunit ribosomal RNA
Source: RNAcentral
CCUACGGGGGGCAGCAGUAGGGAAUCUUCCACAAUGGGCGAAAGCCUGAUGGAGCAACGCCGCGUGGGUGAAGAAGGUCUUCGGAUCGUAAAACCCUGUUGUUAGAGAAGAAAGUGCGUGAGAGUAACUGUUCACGUUUCGACGGUAUCUAACCAGAAAGCCACGGCUAACUACGUGCCAGCAGCCGCGGUAAUACGUAGGUGGCAAGCGUUAUCCGGAUUUAUUGGGCGUAAAGGGAACGCAGGCGGUCUUUUAAGUCUGAUGUGAAAGCCUUCGGCUUAACCGGAGUAGUGCAUUGGAAACUGGGAGACGUGAGUGCAGAAGAGGAGAGUGGAACUCAAUGUGUAGGGGUGAAAUGCGUAGAUAUAGGGAAGAACACCAGGGGCGAAAGCGGCUCUCUGGUCUGUAACUGACGCUGAGGUUCGAAAGCGUGGGUAGCAAACAGGAUUAGAUACCCUAGUAGUC